This 517-nucleotide ribosomal RNA is filed under the name Fasciola gigantica. RNAcentral's name for it is "SSU rRNA". It matches the Rfam family "Eukaryotic small subunit ribosomal RNA", at positions 1008 to 1476 of the family's 1831-position model. The record is from RNAcentral. Lineage: Eukaryota; Metazoa; Platyhelminthes; Trematoda; Plagiorchiida; Fasciolidae.
UCAGAUACCGUCCUAGUUCUGACCAUAAACGAUGCCAACUGACGAUCUCGUGGUGGUUCUUUAUGUGUCCCCACGGGCAGUCCCCGGGAAACCCUUAAGUCUUUGGGCUCCGGGGGAAGUAUGGUUGCAAAGCUGAAACUUAAAGGAAUUGACGGAAGGGCACCACCAGGAGUGGAGCCUGCGGCUUAAUUCGACUCAACACGGGAAAACUCACCCGGCCCGGACACUGUGAGGAUUGACAGAUUGAUAGCUCUUUCUUGAUUCGGUGGUUGGUGGUGCAUGGCCGUUCUUAGUUGGUGGAGCGAUUUGUCUGGUUAAUUCCGAUAACGAACGAGACUCUGGCCUGCUAAAUAGUAUGCCUGUCCUCUGUGCUCGUGCAGGUUGCGUUGUCCAUUGCCUCCUCGAGGGGUAGUGGUUACGUUGACCGGCGGGUGCGGCGCAGGUACUUACUUCUUAAAGGGACAAGCGGUAUUCAGUCGCACGAAAUUGAGCAAUAACAGGUCUGUGAUGCCCUUAG